GAAAAUGACAUAAUUGCAUUCGCCUUC
Molecule: non-coding RNA, 27 nt
Filed under: Mus musculus (house mouse)
Lineage: Eukaryota; Metazoa; Chordata; Mammalia; Rodentia; Muridae
Source: RNAcentral